UUGGCAGCCCGAGACACUGACAUCCUCUAUUUAUUCACAAAAGCAGGUACACUAUAGACAGCAGCAGUGCAAGCUCUUCCUGUACCAGCCUGUUAACAGGUGUCAAUCCUUACAUGCAGAAACCAUCGCUAAGGGCAGGUGGGUACCAACUUCCAGGUACAGCACUUUUCUAGGCUACC
Unclassified non-coding RNA from Chelonoidis abingdonii (Abingdon island giant tortoise), 179 nucleotides. NCBI's taxonomy places the organism in Eukaryota, Metazoa, Chordata, Testudines, Testudinidae. The record is from Ensembl.